GAUGAACGCUAGCGGCAGGCCUAACACAUGCAAGUCGAGGGGCAGCACAGAAACAGCAAUGUUUUGGUGGCGACCGGCGGACGGGUGCGUAACGCGUAUGCAACCUACCUUUAACAGGGGGAUAACGGAGAGAAAUUUCCACUAAUACCCCAUAACAUCGAUCAAGGCAUCUUGAUUGGUUGAAAACUCCGGUGGUUAAAGAUGGGCAUGCGUUGUAUUAGGUAGUUGGUGAGGUAAUGGCUCACCAAGCCUACGAUGCAUAGGGGGACUGAGUGGUUAGCCCCCCACACUGGUACUGAGACACGGACCAGACUCCUACGGGAGGCAGCAGUGAGGAAUAUUGGUCAAUGGGGGCAACCCUGAACCAGCCAUGCCGCGUGCAGGAAGACGGCUCUAUGAGUUGUAAACUGCUUUUAAACAGGGAUAAAGCACAGUAUGUAUACUGUGUUGAAGGUACUGUAAGAAUAAGGAUCGGCUAACUCCGUGCCAGCCGCCGCAGUAA
Molecule: ribosomal RNA, 502 nt
Filed under: uncultured bacterium
Lineage: Bacteria
Description: partial 16S ribosomal RNA
Rfam family: Bacterial small subunit ribosomal RNA
Source: RNAcentral